RNAcentral lists this ribosomal RNA (515 nucleotides) under uncultured bacterium. RNAcentral's name for it is "partial 16S ribosomal RNA". It matches the Rfam family "Bacterial small subunit ribosomal RNA", at positions 28 to 523 of the family's 1533-position model. The record is from RNAcentral.
GGUGAACGCUGGCGGCGUGCCUAAUACAUGCAAGUCGAGCGAAUGGAUUGAGAGCUUGCUCUCAAGAAGUUAGCGGCGGACGGGUGAGUAACACGUGGGUAACCUGCCCAUAAGACUGGGAUAACUCCGGGAAACCGGGGCUAAUACCGGAUAACAUUUUGAACUGCAUGGUUCGAAAUUGAAAGGCGGCUUCGGCUGUCACUUAUGGAUGGACCCGCGUCGCAUUAGCUAGUUGGUGAGGUAACGGCUCACCAAGGCAACGAUGCGUAGCCGACCUGAGAGGGUGAUCGGCCACACUGGGACUGAGACACGGCCCAGACUCCUACGGGAGGCAGCAGUAGGGAAUCUUCCGCAAUGGACGAAAGUCUGACGGAGCAACGCCGCGUGAGUGAUGAAGGCUUUCGGGUCGUAAAACUUUGUUGUUAGGGAAGAACAAGUGCUAGUUGAAUAAGCUGGCACCUUGACGGUACCUAACCAGAAAGCCACGGCUAACUACGUGCCAGCCGCCGCAGUAA